Long non-coding RNA from Hippopotamus amphibius kiboko, 375 nucleotides. RefSeq lists it as uncharacterized. The transcript is spliced from 3 exons. NCBI's taxonomy places the organism in Eukaryota, Metazoa, Chordata, Mammalia, Artiodactyla, Hippopotamidae. The record is from RefSeq and is a predicted model, not a curated record.
GUUAUUUAUGGAGAGGGCUUCAGCCAUUUUGAAAAAUCACUGGUUGAGACUCUAAGGAAGAGAGCUCCAAAGUAGAAAGGUUCCUGAACUUUAACCUACCCUCAGCCUGAGCCAGCAUCAGAAUAUGGAACAUCCCCUCUUUAAUGGCUCCUCCAGAGAAUUUGCAGGCUACAAGGGAAAACAUUUCUUGCUCAACUGUCAUUUAAGCCACCUAUUCACCUCACUGUCCCAUUCCCUGUUUUUCUAGCCUUGUUUAUCCUUCCCAAUAAACAAAAUUUUCUUUCUACCUUACCUUUGAAAGACUUGCAGAUCUCAUUCCCCCUAUUGCAAGAGUCACCUCCCCUUGUGGUAGUAAUCCUUUUGAAUAAAGUCUUU